UUUCUAUUUCAAAAUGUGACAUGUUAAUGUUGAUUGAUGGAAAUGGAAUUGAAAUUCAAACCACUGGAUGCCAUUAUUUUCUCAGGGAGAGCACUCUAUGAUUUCCUGUUGUUAGGACUUCGUUAGAUUUCUUUUCAAUUUUCUUUUUCCUUUAAAUCUUCCAUCAACGGUCAAAUGUUGGUGCAUUUUUGUGCUAAUCAGUGGUGAUGGAUUUGGAACGUAUCAAAUCACUGGUGCCUUGGCACUAUUCCACAUUUGUUCCAUAAGAGAGGAGUAAGAAGUUGUGCACUUAUCACAGUAUAAAUUAGUUGCUGUAGGUGCUAUAUGAUUGGUGCACUUACUUGGCUUAAGAAAGUUAAUGGUAAAAAAUUAUUAAAAAGGAAAGGCGCUACUUAGCCUUUUACUGUUCUGUAUGGUAGAAUAUACAAUAGGCAAGAUGCUUUGGCUAAUAGAUAAAAGAGCAUCUGUGUGUUGUAGCCUCCGUUCUGCUGUUAGUUUUUUUUUUAUAAGAACAAGUGAAGCUUCAUUGAUAUAAUUAUUCCAUUACAAGCUUAUCCACCCAUACAGUUUGGUGUACAAAAUCUGGACAUGAGUUCCACCAGAUUGAUAUGUCUUCUAUGUGCCAUGCGAAUUUUCCCAACCUGUGUGCUGCUUCAUUUCCUAGCCUGCCUACAUGUUGUAUUGUACAACCUUUGAACCAUGCCAUAAGCAUUUUUGUUUCCUUGAUGAGAUUUCCCAAUACAGACCAAGACUCAUCCUCUUGUUGCAGCUGUGUAACCAUGACUAAGGAAUCACUCUCAAUGAUAAGUUCCUCAAUCCCCAAAGGGAGGACUAGCUGCAAACCUCUCAACAUGGCUAGCAAUUCUACUUCUGCUGGAUCAUUAACCAUGGACUCCUUUUUACUAGCUGCAAGAAGGACAUCACCAUUUGUAUCUCUGAGAAUUAUGCCCACUCCAGCCCUGUAUUGUUCUUUGAAAAUGGCCCCAUCGACAUUGAGCUUCAACCCAUUAGGAGGAGGUUUCUUCCAUUGCAGCUGAGAGUAGGAUUUCUUUUCAGGGAUGGUCUGCAUGUCUUGGUACAGCUUGAGAAGGGAUAUGGCAUGCUCUAUUACCUCUGUUGGGGCUGGAGUUUUACCCUCGUGGACCAUCUGAUUCCUUCUGUACCAGAAACUCCAACUAAUCAUUACUAACAAUUCUAGAUCUUCUUUGUGACCCUUUUCAAUUACCUGAGUCAUAAUAUCCAUGAGCCUCAUAUAUCUCGUGCUUGACUGAACAAAAGGAACAAGAGGAGAUGUUUGCCAGCAUUGUUCUAAGUGCACACAAAAGGCUAGUGCAUGGGAAACGUACUCAGGUUCUUUAAGACACAAAGGACUGGAAGGAUCAGUUAGUACCUUCCUCUGUUUCAGAUUAUAUCUAGUAGGUAGGUUUUCCUUGCAUGCUCUUCAGGAAAAUAUUUUGAUUCUAUGAGGCACUCUCAGUUGCCAUAGAGCCGUCCACACCUUCUUCUGUCUUCCUGUACUUGAGCGUUCCCCUUCAAGCUGAGGCUUUCCUUUUGUUGUUAGUAAUCGAUAGGCACUCCUCACACUGAAUUUACCAUCUGUAGCGUCCCCCCUUAUCAUUUUAUCGGCAUGAUCUCCUGCUGCGAAUUUGAUCUUGUAGAUGGCAGCUGCUGCCUGUGGCUAGAACAAUCUACUGAUUUUAUUCACUUCCCACAAGCUGGUUUGUUGAUCAAUGAGAUUGAAUACAGUAGCAGUCUGAAGACUAACUUCUGCUUCCCUCAAUUCAUAAUUCAGUGGGCUAAUAUUUGGAAUCCAUUGGUCAGACCAUAUAUUGAUCGAUCUCCCAUUGCCUACCCUCCAUAUGCAUCCUUGUUUUAACAAACUCUUUGCCUCCCAAAUACCUCACCAGGCAUAGGAAGGAUUAUGCCCUUGACCUGCUUCUAGGAAGUUUCCAUGAGGAAAAUAUUUUGCUUUGUAGACCUUGUGCAACAGGGAUGAGUCCUCCUGCAUUAUGUGCCACCCUUGUUUUGCUAAAAGAGCUUUGUUGAAAGCUUUGAGGUCUUUGAAACCCAUCCCUCCUGAUCUAGGACCCCAUAUUUUUCCAGCUCACCCAAUGUAUUUUGUGCUCACUCUGCUGUCUCCCCCAGAAUUUGGCCAUUAAUCAUUCUAGUUCUUGACAUAAGGAAUUAGGAAGCUUAAAACAACUCAUGGAGAAUGUGGGGAUGGAAAGGGCUAUUGCCUUGAUGAGGAUCUCCUUGCCCCCUUGGAAUAAGAGUUUGUCCUUCCAGUGUUGUAGCUUAAGCCACACUUUGUGCUUGAUGUCUGAGAAGGUUUCUCUUUUUGCUCUUCCUACCAUAGGUGGCAAUCCCAAAUACUUCUCAUGUUGUACCACCCUUUGAAGGCCCCAAAAAUCCAUUAGUUCUUUCUGUUGAGCUUCACUAACAUUUUUACUAAAGAUCAUAGCUGUUUUGUCUCUGUUGAUUCUCUGACCCGAGAGAUGCUCAUAAUCUUCAAGUAAUUCUUGGAUAUUAGCAUUCUCCUGCAUUGAUGCUUUACAAAAAACCUCACUGUUGUCUGCAAACAAGAGGUGGUUAAUGUUUGGGGCCCCUCUACAGAUCUUGAUGCGUGUGAUCUUCUUAUUAACUUCAGCCUGAUAUUGUAAAGCAAUAAGACUUUCUGUUCCUAGAAGAAACAGGUAUGGUGACAAUGGAUCACCUUGCUUGAGACCUCUUGAUGGAUGGACUGGACCUUUUGGUUCUCCAUUGAUGAGGAUCGAAUAUGUUAGUCUUUACACGUCAUGAGCAAGUUUAUCUACUUCAGGUUGAAACCCCAGCUUCUGCAUUGUUUUUUCCAAGAAGGACCAUUCAAGUCUGUUGUAUGCCUUGCUCAUGUCGAACUUGAUGGACAUAAAUCCAGUUUUCCCCACCUUCUUCUGCUUUAAGAAAUGAACCACUUCAUGUGCUACCAGGAUAUUGUCUGUUAUUAAUCUACCAGGAUCAAAUGCACUCUGAGAGUUGGAUAUAAUCUGAGGCAGAAUUACUUUGAGCCUGUUGGCAUGGACUUUCACUAUUAGCUUAUAAGUAACAUUACACAAGCUUAUGGGUCGCUAACCAGCUACGUUUUCUGGUCUCUUCUUCUUAGGAAUUAAGGUAACGAAUGUAUGGUUCAGGGUGCUUGGAAACAUACCAGUGUUGAGGGCUGUCAAAACUGCUGAAGUAACUGAGUUACCUACAGUUUUCCAAUUGGAUUGGUAAAAGAAAGGGGCCACAUCCCAUCCGGGCCAGGAGCUGUGGUGGGAUGCAUUUGGUUUAAGGCUUUCUUGGCUUCCUCCUCAGUGAAGGGAUUAUUAAGAGUUUGAUUCAUAUCUGCUAUAACACGUCCCUCUAGAGCAGACCAGCAGUCAACCUCAUUCCUAGCAUCAUCUGUUUGGAAGGCUGAUGAAUUGAUGUUCUGGAAAUAAUCCAGGAUGACUUGGUUUCUGUUUGCCCCCAUCUGCCAGACUCCAUUCUCAUCCUGCAUCCUUUCUAUAUAAUUUUUCUUUCUCCUCUGUGAAGCUUUAUGGUGGAAAUAAGUUGUGUUUUUAUCUCCCUCUCUCAACCACAGGGCUUUGGACCGCUGGUUCCACGUGAUUUCCUCUCUCUCUAGCCAACAGUGUAACCUGUCUCGAGCUGCUUUUUGGUCUCCCACUCUCGAGCCAUUUGGAUCAGAGGUUAAUUUGUAGUCUAUGGAGUGCCUCUCUGACCUUCUUAAUAUUUGUUUGGACCUGACCAAAUUCCUUGUGAUUCCAGACUGUUAAUUGCUUACUACAUUUUCCUGUGACUUUCAUCAAGGCUUCAAAGUCAGUAUGAGCCUCAGUGUUCUUCCAUGCAUUUUCUAUGAUCUUCUCACAUCCCUUAUUUUCUACCCACAUGGCUUCAAAGCGGAAAAGUUUUUACCUCUUCUGUUUUGAUCACCUCCAUUCAGUUGUAAAAUUACUGGUACAUGAUCAGAGUGUGCUGCAUGUCCAUGAUAGACUUUCACCAUUGGCCAUAGAUUGCACCAUGACCAGUUUGCUAGAGCUCUGUCCAAUCUUUCACUGAUGCUUUCCUGAGUCCUUCUCUUGUUGCACCAUGUGUAAGGAAUACCCUCAUAUCCUAAGUCUUUGAGUAGACAGUCAUCCAACAUGGAUUUGAGUAGACAGUUAGGUUUUAUGUAAUCAGCAUGCACCAUUGUGAUAUAUUGAAGGGAGGCUAACUUUCCAGAGUAGCAAGCUAGAAUGAUAGUAUAUCUUUGUUAGUGGAUCAAGUUACUAGAUGGUUACUCUAGAAUUUUUCUUUUAUAGAUAAUCACUGUGCUGUGUUGUUUCUUGAUCAUAAUAUGCACAAUAAUGAAAUCCCUUGAUAAUGUAAGCAUAGUUAUAAUUUUAGCACUUCAUGACCUGAAGCUUGUUAGGAGAGGAG
Molecule: long non-coding RNA, 4437 nt
Organism: Carya illinoinensis
Lineage: Eukaryota; Viridiplantae; Streptophyta; Magnoliopsida; Fagales; Juglandaceae
Exons: 2
Source: RefSeq, a predicted model, not a curated record